This is a long non-coding RNA of Rana temporaria (common frog), 1502 nucleotides long. RefSeq lists it as uncharacterized. NCBI's taxonomy places the organism in Eukaryota, Metazoa, Chordata, Amphibia, Anura, Ranidae. The transcript is spliced from 5 exons. The record is from RefSeq and is a predicted model, not a curated record.
CUCGUUACGUCAGAGCUUGAGGGGCGUAUUUAAGCAGAACACACAGCUGACACAAUCCGCCCAGGCAUCAGCAGGCAGACCGUGCCUCACUCAGCCACCACACAAAGAUUAUAUAGUAUGCAUUCUUGUCCCUGAAGAAGCCCGAAGGGCGAAACAUGUUGGACCCCCUGCAUACAUCAUUCUGUCACCUCACUUUUGGUGAAAUAUAUCAUCUUAUGUGAUCAUGUUUUUAUUCUAUGUGUAUAUUUACAUGUCCAAUGUCAAUUAAAUUAUAUUUUUUAUCUAUACAAGUCUUGUCUAUCAUGUAUGAUCCCUGCGGUUUCUCAGUAAACUCUUUGUAAUUAUAAUAUAUAUUCCAACUUGCAUUCGCACAGUCCCAUGCCACAUCCCAGAAUUGGGAACAUAUAUUCAUUAUUCUACCCGGGACGGUAAUGCUUCUUGGACUCACUCCCUUAGUAUACUGUGCAAGCUCUAUAUGUACUAUAUAUUUUUCUCUGCAUAUGUUAAAGAUUUACUUUGUCUGUCUAUUUUGUAUACUGCCACCUUGUGUUGGAUACAGAUAUGCCCAGGGACCUUAUGUGCCUCUGUAUAUGAUCAUUAUACAUACACCCCCGGGGGUCGCCCCUCUGUAAUGCAGCCACAUAUAUGGAUGCUGGUUCUGCACCAUCCGACAUCCGUGGGUCACGCUAGGUGGGCGCCCAGGGGUGCUUGCCAGAUCAGCAUGUGAUCUGAACCAUGGCGGAGGCCAUGGUGUUGCGAUCAUCCGCGACAGUGCACCGCCGUGCGUGUGAGCUAAGACACACUGUUGGAGACGCUUCGGCGUUCCCAUAUCCCGCCCAGGGGGCGGGCUCACCGCGUCAUCUCCUAUGGGCGGUCUCCCACACGAUCCGACAGGAGGGGAAUCCCCUGCCUCUCCUGACGCACUAUGCCCGCCCACCUCAGCACUCUGACGCCUCCCAUGUCAGAGCUCCUGGGGCAUACAGUAUAUAAGCAGCACACACAGCUGAUACAGUCCGCCCAGGCUUCAGCAGGCAGACCGUGCCUAAAUCCAGCCACCACACCAAGGGCGACAACGAGCUUCCAGACAGGAGCCAAGAAACCCCACACCUCCUACCCAAGCCCCACCCCCGCAGGAUGUGGAGAAAGAAGAAGCGGAGGAAGGAGAAAGUGGCACCACAACAGGAGCUUUUCUGGCUGGGGACGGCUUUGAUACACAUAGCGCCCAGAUGCUAAUUGGCGAUGUGAUGGCCUGCUCAGCUGACCUGGAGGACAUCAACACAAGUUUGGGGCAGAUAAGGGAAAAGACAAAAAAGAGCAUUUCAUUGUGAUGGUCACGUCAUAAAUCCCCUGAUGGAGCCAAAGGAUUGGCGAAACUAGUAGGAAAGACUUGACCACUGGCUUGUACUCUAAUGUAUUGCUCCCACAAUAUUUGUACACUGCUCCUAUGUCCGAACUAAACUCUUUUAUCUUUAUGUAACCAAUAAAACGUUUCUAUUUUUGUA